UGGUGGAGUGAUUUGUCUGGUUGAUUCCGAUAACGAACGAGACCACGAGAGGGUGGUUGAGGUAGUAGAUGAGGAGUGAAAAUGGGGGAAGGUUAAAGUGUGGUUGAUUUCGGUUAACCCGCUUUAAUUGGAACUCUUGCUCCUUUCUACACUUACCUACCCCGACCGGAGUGUUUCAACACUCAGGAAGGUCGUGGCAAUAACA
Molecule: ribosomal RNA, 205 nt
Filed under: uncultured eukaryote
Lineage: Eukaryota
Description: partial 18S ribosomal RNA
Rfam family: Eukaryotic small subunit ribosomal RNA
Source: RNAcentral